This is a small nuclear RNA of Gopherus evgoodei (Goodes thornscrub tortoise), 110 nucleotides long. The record is from Ensembl. Lineage: Eukaryota; Metazoa; Chordata; Testudines; Testudinidae.
GAGUGUCUCAAGUCUGCAGCUCAUAUACUAAAAUUGGAACGAUACAGAGAAGAUUAGCAUGGCCCCUGCACAAGGAUGACAUGCAAAUUCGUGAAGCGUUCCUAGCCUAG